GUCACCCAAGCCACCCGACGCGUCUUUGUGCGCGCCCCACGGUGGCGAUUGGUAUCGCAAAGAUCCGACCGCAAUUCAGCAUCCUUCAUUUCUUCCCGUGUCGUGCCAUCGUGUGUAAGUGUCCGAUAUUGCAGCCGAUUGACGCUCCGUCUCCGCACGUCAGCGUUUCUUUGUUAGAUUAAGUAGGCAUUAUUUUAUUGGGCCGGUCCUCCGCCGAUAUCUGUAAUAUUUUUAUUGUAUGAUCGAAUUUUACCGCUAAACGUGCUUUCGGUGAUCGGAUUGUAUUUGCCCGAUAAUACUCAUCGCAUCAUUAGUGUAUUAGAAAUGCAGCUAUUUCAAUUCACGCGUAUUUCGGGGUAGCAAACAGAAUUGAACACGGGGCAAACUCUCAUCGGUUGCGUGAAGUACUUUGACCGGGAAAACGUGUCGCCGCCCAUAUCGUGGAAGUCGUUGACAACCUCGAUCUCGUCUUCGCUUCGGCCAUCAUGGCGUCGAUAGCGUCAUAGCGACACAGACGACCUCAACCCGGGCAAUUAAAAAGCAGACGAUACAUAUUUUACACAAUUCAAUCCAACUUCCCUGUUGAAGACUUCCGGGGUCCUUGAAAAUUCACUAGCCGAUCGAUUCUACCUGCUAUGGAUGAAAAACGUGAAUCAAGACGACUGCAGGUCCAAUACACCUAUGGUUCGAUGAACAUCAUCGAUCACGUAUAAUCUGAUUGUCGGAUACGCGUUAAACGGUUCCAAAAUCGAUUGGACGAUGAAGACAAUUACAAAUAUUGGAUUAAUGAAGUAGUGAAUACACACUCUAACAGAACACUCGCGUGCGGAGUUACGUGUCGUUGAUUUGCUACAAUAUCGGACACGAAUAUGCGAUGGCGCGGCGCGGGAGGAAUAAACAAACGUCAGUCCGGUCGAUGCGGCACCAUUCAGGGUGGCUGGCGACCGUACAGCCUAUCAUUACAAUUGACUACUACACAGAUUUUAUUGGAAUAUUUGCUAUGAGUCAAAUGAAAAAGAAAAACAUCAUCUUCCUACUAUUCAGUUUUGUUUUUCAAAAUGAACCAUGUCAACAUAAUCUACAAAAUAUUAUGUUUGAUAAUAAAUUUAAAAUAGAAGAAUUACGGAGUCCAUGUUAUGCGAUGAAAUAAUUUUAUUCCACAUCCAAUGGCAUAACGACAAGUACAGCAGUAAAAUUUUAUUUAUUUAUUUAUUAAGUUAAAACUAUUUAUCAACUAAACCUACAAUAAAUUAAUGGUCAAUGAUUAAAUAAGUACAUGCCUAAUGUGGUCAUACCUUUAUAUUUAAGUAUUGAAAUAUGAAAAACUUUUUUUUUAUUAUCUAUUAUAAAACAUUUUUCAUUAACUGUGUUUAAGAUAAGAAUGUAUUUUGGUGACAUUCAAUUAAAUCCAUUUAUAAACUAAUAGGACUACAUUACAUUUUCUCAUCUUCAGUUUGUGAAUAUUAUUAAUUUACUGAUUGUUGUCAAAAAAAGUCUGUAACUACAAAAAAUA
Molecule: long non-coding RNA, 1513 nt
Organism: Rhopalosiphum padi (bird cherry-oat aphid)
Lineage: Eukaryota; Metazoa; Arthropoda; Insecta; Hemiptera; Aphididae
Exons: 3
Source: RefSeq, a predicted model, not a curated record